UACGGAGGGUGCAAGCGUUGCUCGGAAUCAUUGGGCGUAAAGCGCGUGUAGGCGGUUAACUAAGUCUGGUGUGAAAGCCCGAGGCUUAACUUCGGAAGUGCACUGGAUACUAGCUAGCUAGAGGACGAGAGAGGAAAGUGGAAUUCCUGGUGUAGGGGUGAAAUCCGUAGAUAUCAGGAGGAACACCAGUGGCGAAGGCGGCUUUCUGGCUCGUUUCUGACGCUGAGACGCGAAAGCGUGGGGAGCAAACAGGAUUAGAAACCCGUGGUAGUCC
RNAcentral lists this ribosomal RNA (274 nucleotides) under uncultured bacterium. RNAcentral describes it as "partial 16S ribosomal RNA". It matches the Rfam family "Bacterial small subunit ribosomal RNA", at positions 524 to 796 of the family's 1533-position model. The record is from RNAcentral.